UACGUAGGCAGCGAGCGUUGUUCGGAGUUACUGGGCGUAAAGGGUGUGUAGGCGGUUGUUUAAGUUUGGUGUGAAAUCUCCCGGCUCAACCGGGAGGGUGCGCCGAAUACUGAAUGACUCGAGUGCGGGAGAGGAGAGUGGAAUUCCUGGUGUAGCGGUGAAAUGCGCAGAUAUCAGGACGAACACCCGUGGCGAAAGCGGCUCUCUGGAACGGUACUGACGCUGAGACGCGAAAGCGUGGGGAGCGAACAGG
Molecule: ribosomal RNA, 253 nt
Filed under: uncultured bacterium
Lineage: Bacteria
Description: partial 16S ribosomal RNA
Rfam family: Bacterial small subunit ribosomal RNA
Source: RNAcentral